Molecule: non-coding RNA, 229 nt
Filed under: Fragilariopsis kerguelensis
Lineage: Eukaryota; Bacillariophyta; Bacillariophyceae; Bacillariales; Bacillariaceae
Source: RNAcentral
GGUCGAUCCGGAGAUUAUCAAACGAGAACACGGCAGGAGGUUGAAUGACCGGCCCGACGCACACUAUACCGCCGUCAAGCACUACAGUGACACCAAAUUGUGCAAUCAAUUGUUGGCCACCACCCUGAUCGAACGAUGGCCCGACACCAAGGUGUUCAGUGUGUCACCGGGAAUGGUCGAUACGGGAUUGUGGCGUCAUUUUCCACUCUGGUUUCAACUAAUGACGUGG